This 70-nucleotide transfer RNA is filed under the name Marmota monax (woodchuck). Its description in RNAcentral is "tRNA.Ala". Lineage: Eukaryota; Metazoa; Chordata; Mammalia; Rodentia; Sciuridae. The record is from RNAcentral.
GGGGUGCAGCUCAGUGGUAGAGCGCUUGCCUAGCAGAUGUGAGAAACUGGGUUCGAUUCUCAGCACCACA